CCUACGGGAGGCAGCAGUGAGGAAUAUUGGUCAAUGGCCGAGAGGCUGAACCAGCCAAGUCGCGUGAGGGAAGACGGCCCUACGGGUUGUAAACCUCUUUUGUCGGGGAGCAAAGCGAGUCACGUGUGACUCAUUAAGAGUACCCUAAGAAAAAGCAUCGGCUAACUCCGUGCCAGCAGCCGCGGUAAUACGGAGGAUGCGAGCGUUUUCCGGGUUUGUUGGGGUAAAGGGGUGCGCAGGCGGCCUGUUAAGUCCGCGGUAAAGGCCCGGGGCUCAACCCCGGCGAGCCGUUGAAACUGGCGGGCUGGAGUUGGAGAGAAGUACGCGGAAUGCGCGGUGUAGCGGUGAAAUGCUUAGAUAUCGCGCAGAACCCCGAUUGCGAAGGCAGCGUACCGGCUCCAAACUGACGCUGAGGCACGAAAGCGUGGGUAUCGAACAGGAUUAGAUACCCUUGUAGUC
This 459-nucleotide ribosomal RNA is filed under the name uncultured bacterium. Its description in RNAcentral is "partial 16S ribosomal RNA". It matches the Rfam family "Bacterial small subunit ribosomal RNA", at positions 338 to 795 of the family's 1533-position model. The record is from RNAcentral.